RNAcentral lists this ribosomal RNA (292 nucleotides) under uncultured bacterium. Its description in RNAcentral is "partial 16S ribosomal RNA". It matches the Rfam family "Bacterial small subunit ribosomal RNA", at positions 505 to 796 of the family's 1533-position model. The record is from RNAcentral.
GUGUCAGCAGCCGCGGUAAUACGAAGGGGGCUAGCGUUGUUCGGAAUUACUGGGCGUAAAGCGCACGCAGGCGGUUCGAUUAGUCAGAAGUGAAAGCCCCGGGCUCAACCUGGGAACUGCUUUUGAUACUGUCGAGCUUGAAUCACGGAGAGGGUAGUGGAAUUCCGAGUGUAGAGGUGAAAUUCGUAGAUAUUCGGAAGAACACCAGUGGCGAAGGCGACUACCUGGCCGUCGAUUGACGCUCAUGUGCGAAAGCGUGGGGAGCAAACAGGAUUAGAUACCCGAGUAGUCC